Molecule: ribosomal RNA, 365 nt
Filed under: uncultured bacterium
Lineage: Bacteria
Description: bacterial SSU rRNA
Rfam family: Bacterial small subunit ribosomal RNA
Source: RNAcentral
GACUAACGUUGGCGGCGUGCCUAAUACAUGCAAGUCGAACGAUCUGGUAGCAAUACCAGGGAGUGGCGAACGGGUGAGUAACACGUGGAUGAUCUACCUCUAAGAUUGAGAUAACCCAUCGAAAGGUGGGCUAAUACCGAAUAUGACUACGAUCCGUAUCCGGAAUGUAGUAAAGGCGGGACCGCAAGGCCUGCCACUUAGAGAUGAGUCUGCGGCUGAUAGCUAGUUGGCGGGGUAAUGGCCCACCAAGGCAACGAUCAGUAGCCGGCCUGAGAGGGUGUACGGCCACACUGGAACUGAGACACGGUCCAGACUCCUACGGGAGGCAGCAGUAGGGAAUUUUCCGCAAUGGGCGAAAGCCUGAC